This 561-nucleotide ribosomal RNA is filed under the name uncultured bacterium. RNAcentral's name for it is "bacterial SSU rRNA". It matches the Rfam family "Bacterial small subunit ribosomal RNA", at positions 338 to 916 of the family's 1533-position model. The record is from RNAcentral.
CCUACGGGGAGGCAGCAGUGGGGAAUCUUGCGCAAUGGGCGAAAGCCUGACGCAGCCAUGCCGCGUGUAUGAUGAAGGUCUUAGGAUUGUAAAAUACUUUCACCGGUGAAGAUAAUGACUGUAGCCGGAGAAGAAGCCCCGGCUAACUUCGUGCCAGCAGCCGCGGUAAUACGAAGGGGGCUAGCGUUGCUCGGAAUUACUGGGCGUAAAGGGAGCGUAGGCGGACAUUUAAGUCAGGGGUGAAAUCCCAGAGCCCAACUCUGGAACUGCCUUUGAUACUGGGUGUCUUGAGUGUGAUAGAGGUAUGUGGAACUCCGAGUGUAGAGGUGAAAUUCGUAGAUAUUCGGAAGAACACCAGUGGCGAAGGCGACAUACUGGAUCAUUACUGACGCUGAGGCUCGAAAGCGUGGGGAGCAAACAGGAUUAGAUACCCUGGUAGUCCACGCCGUAAACGAUGAUUGCUAGUUGUCGGGAUGUUUACAUCUCGGUGACGCAGCUAACGCAUUAAGCAAUCCGCCUGGGGAGUACGGUUGCAAGAUUAAAACUCAAAGGAAUUGACGG